GUGACUGGUGGUGGAAGCCAGCUUCUCCUCAUCUGUGGCAUGGUCUUCCUGUGGAGGUAGGGAGGCGGGGUCGUCUGCAUCCUGACAUGCAAAGAAGCAGGGGGAGUGCUGGACCCUCUCCUAGAUAACUUGAGGCGAAAGGCGGACUACGUACACCCUGAACCGCACGCCAGUCAGUCACAGGGUACAUAGCGACAUCACCACUGAGCAGGAAUCGAUCCCACACUCCCCGCACCAAAGUCAGGAAUCCACAUGGAACUGGGAAUGGAAUAUGGUGGAUUGUUGUGUUGUCCCUGUACUUACAAAAAACAACAAAGAGUGGAGACACCUCUGGACUUCCUGUGACAUAUGAGAAUACAGCUUAAGUCAUGGUCUGCAGAGAAUUUCUACAGUAUGAAAGAGAUCUCAUUCUUCAGAUCCCAGAUACGAGAUGGUGUGCACACCUGUCCAUCAUCAUCUCAGACGCUUCAUAUUCACUGGUACAAGUGACGAGACAGACAAAAGGCACUGACAUAACAGAGCAGUUGGCCACAUCCAACACAAACCAAUCCUCAGAAGCAAAAAAAAAAAUCAAAACAAGUUCAACUCAACCACUGCGC
Syngnathoides biaculeatus (alligator pipefish) is the source of this 599-nucleotide long non-coding RNA. RefSeq lists it as uncharacterized. NCBI's taxonomy places the organism in Eukaryota, Metazoa, Chordata, Actinopteri, Syngnathiformes, Syngnathidae. The record is from RefSeq and is a predicted model, not a curated record. The transcript is spliced from 5 exons.